Homo sapiens (human) is the source of this 367-nucleotide long non-coding RNA. Lineage: Eukaryota; Metazoa; Chordata; Mammalia; Primates; Hominidae. The record is from Ensembl.
GGUCUAAUCAAUGGUGCUCUAACUACAGAACAGCGAAUCUUAACCUGGGGACCAUGGGUCAUGAAUGGACUGCAGAAAUUCUGUGACCUCCUGAGAAGUGUUCUGGGUGAGACAAGGCUUGAAAGAGACAAAGAAGGCUGGAGCCCCGUGGCAGAUGAGAUGGUUAGAUCUGCAGGCAUACUAACUGGAAGAGAUACAACAGAGGCUCCCUGGAAGAAGGAUGCCAGACACAGUUGAGAGCACAAGACUGUACCAAAAACAAGAGAUUAAAUGACUUUAACAUAUUAAAUGCUGAAUACAGAAGUUCCCCCAGCUAGAACUCCCAACUAGGCUUCCAGAAUGCAGGCAACCACACUGCUAUCCUUUA